UACGGAGGAUGCGAGCGUUAUCCGGAUUUAUUGGGUUUAAAGGGUGCGUAGGCGGCGAGUUAAGUCAGCGGUAAAAGCCCGGGGCUCAACCCCGGCCCGCCGUUGAAACUGGCAGUCUCGAGUUGGAGAGAAGUAUGCGGAAUGCGCGGUGUAGCGGUGAAAUGCAUAGAUAUCGCGCAGAACCCCGAUUGCGAAGGCAGCGUGCCGUGCCGCCACUGACGCUGAGGCACGAAGGCCAGGGGAGCGAAAGGG
Molecule: ribosomal RNA, 252 nt
Filed under: uncultured Bacteroidales bacterium
Lineage: Bacteria; Pseudomonadati; Bacteroidota; Bacteroidia; Bacteroidales
Description: partial 16S ribosomal RNA
Rfam family: Bacterial small subunit ribosomal RNA
Source: RNAcentral